CGGAAGUGUGGCCGAGUGGUUUAAGGCUCUGGUCUUGAAAACCAGCGAGGGGGAGACCCCUCCGUGGGUUCGAAUCCCACCGCUUCCGCCA
Molecule: transfer RNA, 91 nt
Filed under: Rhodobacter capsulatus SB 1003
Lineage: Bacteria; Pseudomonadati; Pseudomonadota; Alphaproteobacteria; Rhodobacterales
Description: tRNA-Ser
Rfam family: tRNA
About the family: Transfer RNA (tRNA) molecules are approximately 80 nucleotides in length. Their secondary structure includes four short double-helical elements and three loops (D, anti-codon, and T loops). Further hydrogen bonds mediate the characteristic L-shaped molecular structure. tRNAs have two regions of fundamental functional importance: the anti-codon, which is responsible for specific mRNA codon recognition, and the 3' end, to which the tRNAs corresponding amino acid is attached (by aminoacyl-tRNA synthetases). tRNAs cope with the degeneracy of the genetic code in two manners: having more than one tRNA (with a specific anti-codon) for a particular amino acid; and 'wobble' base-pairing, i.e. permitting non-standard base-pairing at the 3rd anti-codon position.
Source: RNAcentral